RNAcentral lists this small RNA (28 nucleotides) under Bombyx mori (domestic silkworm). Its description in RNAcentral is "ovarian small RNA-33742". The record is from RNAcentral. Lineage: Eukaryota; Metazoa; Arthropoda; Insecta; Lepidoptera; Bombycidae.
UGCCCGCGCAAAGCGGGUCGAGCCCGAA